RNAcentral lists this long non-coding RNA (473 nucleotides) under Helianthus annuus (common sunflower). Lineage: Eukaryota; Viridiplantae; Streptophyta; Magnoliopsida; Asterales; Asteraceae. The record is from RNAcentral.
AUGGGUUCCAUACUACGCCCAAUCCUUCCUUCAUCGCAGAAUGUUUCUUUUGAAACGAAACGGACAAGUUCACCCGCAAGAUUUCGCCGACUGCUUCUCUCCUUCAUAAGCUGCUGGCUAUUUAGCCUACUACCUCUUUAUCUGAGUUAAAGCAAUCACCAUCAAGGGAACCAUCGUGAGCAGCUGAGUUUUAAUUCCACAAGGGUUUAUUUGAAACACAAUUGCGGCGGGCCAAGAGUAGUGAUCUUGUGAUGUGUUUCCACGAGGAGAAGCGGAGAAGUUCUACAAGGUAUUAUAACUAUCUCGUGUUGGUGCUUGUGGAAGGCUCGAAACAAGUCGGUGUUCUCGGCGACUCAAGUCAAGGUGGAAGACAUCUUUAGCGAAGUUAGACCGGUGGGGUUAUUAUGGUUUAAGUAUAGAUCAAAGUUUAAUUCUAUUUCAUGGUCGAUUGGUGUAAAUUUGUAAUUAUGUAG